UUUGGUGGAUCAGGUUUCUGG
RNAcentral lists this non-coding RNA (21 nucleotides) under Rattus norvegicus (Norway rat). The record is from RNAcentral. Lineage: Eukaryota; Metazoa; Chordata; Mammalia; Rodentia; Muridae.